Long non-coding RNA from Oncorhynchus masou masou (cherry salmon), 855 nucleotides. RefSeq lists it as uncharacterized. Lineage: Eukaryota; Metazoa; Chordata; Actinopteri; Salmoniformes; Salmonidae. The record is from RefSeq and is a predicted model, not a curated record. The transcript is spliced from 3 exons.
UCAGAGAAGGCGGGUGGCGCUCUUGUAAUUGGAAAAGCUCCGCGAUGUGACAAGACGCUUUGGCGAACACCGCAGAGAUUGAUUGCGUGAGAGGGAUUUGAGUGGGUGCAACCGACCAAGAGAAUCUUCCGGUUACUGUCUUUCUUUCAGACACACGUACCUUCGCGGUAAAUCGUAUCACAUCUUCUCUUCGUUUAGGCUACUCUCUCUACCCAUUCGUCGUAUUUCACUCGGAUAACUUCUCUCUAAAGGAAAAUAUUGUUUAUGGUUUUGACCGAAGAUUUCAAGAUGUCUCGCACCGACGAGGUUCACCGCAUAACGGAGAAUGUCUACAAGUCCAUCAUGGAACAGUUCAACCCCUGCUUGCGGAACUUCGUUGCCAUGGGGAAGAGCUAUGAGAAGGCCCUGUCCAAUGUGACGUUUGCUGCUAAGGGCUACUUUGAUGCCCUGGUGAGGAUGGGAGAGCUAGCCAGUGAGAGCCAGGGAUCCAAGGACAUGGGUGAGUAGUAGCCAAUCAGCUGUCAGGAUGUUGUGUACCUAAAGGGGUAUUCAGUGCUGGCCAAUGCUUGUCUUAGUGUUUGUACUGUAAGUCCGUGUGUCUGUGUCUAUCAGCUGCUACAUAUCUCUUUCCCUUCUCUGGACCUAAAGGGGGAGGUUAACUGGGCUCUCCUGCUGGCCAACACACACACAGUCACUUCCUGUGUUUGUGUCACAGUAAUGUCAGGUCUGUAGAGAGAUGACCCAGUCUUUGUUUUCCACGCAGGCAGCGUUGUGGUGUCACUCCUACACUCUAAAAAGAAAAGCUUCCUGGAAGAUAUUUUAGGGGUUCUUCAAAUUGAACUGUGGGGAACCUCU